UUGGUCCGACCGAUGCGCAGGUGAAGGGAAGCCGGUGGAAAUCCGGCGCAGCCCCCGCUGCUGUGAGGCGGAUCCCGCGCCGAACGCCACUGUCCAUGGGAUGGGAAGGCGGCGCGGGAGACGAUGCCGAGCCAGAAGACCUGCCCGCG
RNAcentral lists this non-coding RNA (149 nucleotides) under Candidatus Pullichristensenella excrementipullorum. The record is from RNAcentral. Lineage: Bacteria; Bacillati; Bacillota; Clostridia.